Molecule: ribosomal RNA, 253 nt
Filed under: uncultured prokaryote
Description: partial 16S ribosomal RNA
Rfam family: Bacterial small subunit ribosomal RNA
Source: RNAcentral
UACGUAGGGGGCAAGCGUUGUCCGGAAUCAUUGGGCGUAAAGAGCUCGUAGGCGGUUUGUCGCGUCGACUGUGAAAACCCGAGGCUUAACCUCGGGCCUGCAGUCGAUACGGGCAGACUAGAGUUCGGUAGGGGAGACUGGAAUUCCUGGUGUAGCGGUGAAAUGCGCAGAUAUCAGGAGGAACACCGGUGGCGAAGGCGGGUCUCUGGGCCGAUACUGACGCUGAGGAGCGAAAGCGUGGGGAGCGAACAGG